AGCAUGUGAUUUAAUUCGAUGCAAAGCGAAGAACCUUACCAGGGCUUGACAUGCCGUGAAUCCUCUUGAAAGAGAGGGGUGCCUUCGGGAACGCGGACACAGGUCCAUGGAGGGGCCUACUCCCAUUUCGGCUCUUAUACAUGCU
Molecule: ribosomal RNA, 145 nt
Organism: Nicotiana attenuata
Lineage: Eukaryota; Viridiplantae; Streptophyta; Magnoliopsida; Solanales; Solanaceae
Rfam family: Bacterial small subunit ribosomal RNA
Source: Rfam